AGAUUGAACGCUGGCGGCAUGCCUUACACAUGCAAGUCGAACGGUAACGCGGGGCAACCUGGCGACGAGUGGCGAACGGGUGAGUAAUGCAUCGGAACGUGCCCAGAAGUGGGGGAUAGCUCGGCGAAAGCCGGAUUAAUACCGCAUACGACCUACGGGUGAAAGCGGGGGAUCGCAAGACCUCGCGCUAUUGGAGCGGCCGAUGUCAGAUUAGGUUGUUGGUGGGUAAAAGCCUACCAAGCCGACGAUCUGUAGCUGGUCUGAGAGGACGACCAGCCACACUGGGACUGAGACACGGCCCAGACUCCUACGGGAGGCAGCAGUGGGAAUUUGGACAAGUGGGGCAACCCUGAUCCAGCCAUGCCGCGUGCGGAAGAACGGCCUUCGGUUGUAACCGCGUUUGUACAGGAAGAACGCGUCCGGUUAAUACCGUCGGUAA
RNAcentral lists this ribosomal RNA (439 nucleotides) under uncultured soil bacterium. RNAcentral's name for it is "bacterial SSU rRNA". It matches the Rfam family "Bacterial small subunit ribosomal RNA", at positions 26 to 472 of the family's 1533-position model. The record is from RNAcentral.